Molecule: ribosomal RNA, 1451 nt
Filed under: uncultured bacterium
Lineage: Bacteria
Description: bacterial SSU rRNA
Rfam family: Bacterial small subunit ribosomal RNA
Source: RNAcentral
GAUGAACGCUAGCUACAGGCUUAACACAUGCAAGUCGAGGGGCAGCAUUUUAGUUUGCUUGCAAACUGAAGAUGGCGACCGGCGCACGGGUGAGUAACACGUAUCCAACCUGCCGAUAACUCCGGGAUAGCCUUUCGAAAGAAAGAUUAAUACCGGAUAGUAUACGAAUAUCGCAUGAUAUUUUUAUUAAAGAAUUUCGGUUAUCGAUGGGGAUGCGUUCCAUUAGUUUGUUGGCGGGGUAACGGCCCACCAAGACUACGAUGGAUAGGGGUUCUGAGAGGAAGGUCCCCCACAUUGGAACUGAGACACGGUCCAAACUCCUACGGGAGGCAGCAGUGAGGAAUAUUGGUCAAUGGGCGCGAGCCUGAACCAGCCAAGUAGCGUGAAGGAUGAAGGCUCUAUGGGUCGUAAACUUCUUUUAUAUGGGAAUAAAGUUUUCCACGUGUGGAAUUUUGUAUGUACCAUAUGAAUAAGGAUCGGCUAACUCCGUGCCAGCAGCCGCGGUAAUACGGAGGAUCCGAGCGUUAUCCGGAUUUAUUGGGUUUAAAGGGAGCGUAGGUGGAUUGUUAAGUCAGUUGUGAAAGUUUGCGGCUCAACCGUAAAAUUGCAGUUGAAACUGGCAGUCUUGAGUACAGUAGAGGUGGGCGGAAUUCGUGGUGUAGCGGUGAAAUGCUUAGAUAUCACGAAGAACUCCGAUUGCGAAGGCAGCUCACUAGACUGUCACUGACACUGAUGCUCGAAAGUGUGGGUAUCAAACAGGAUUAGAUACCCUGGUAGUCCACACAGUAAACGAUGAAUACUCGCUGUUUGCGAUAUACAGUAAGCGGCCAAGCGAAAGCAUUAAGUAUUCCACCUGGGGAGUACGCCGGCAACGGUGAAACUCAAAGGAAUUGACGGGGGCCCGCACAAGCGGAGGAACAUGUGGUUUAAUUCGAUGAUACGCGAGGAACCUUACCCGGGCUUAAAUUGCAACAGAAUAUAUUGGAAACAGUAUAGCCGUAAGGCUGUUGUGAAGGUGCUGCAUGGUUGUCGUCAGCUCGUGCCGUGAGGUGUCGGCUUAAGUGCCAUAACGAGCGCAACCCUUAUCUUUAGUUACUAACAGGUGAUGCUGAGGACUCUAGAGAGACUGCCGUCGUAAGAUGUGAGGAAGGUGGGGAUGACGUCAAAUCAGCACGGCCCUUACGUCCGGGGCUACACACGUGUUACAAUGGGGGGUACAGAAGGCGGCUACCUGGUGACAGGAUGCUAAUCCCAAAAACCUCUCUCAGUUCGGAUCGAAGUCUGCAACCCGACUUCGUGAAGCUGGAUUCGCUAGUAAUCGCGCAUCAGCCAUGGCGCGGUGAAUACGUUCCCGGGCCUUAUACACACCGCCCGUCAAGCCAUGAAAGCCGGGGGUACCUGAAGUACGUAACCGCAAGGAGCGUCCUAGGGUAAAACUGGUAAUUGGGGCU